Molecule: unclassified non-coding RNA, 240 nt
Filed under: soil metagenome
Description: partial contains 5.8S ribosomal RNA, internal transcribed spacer 2, and large subunit ribosomal RNA
Source: RNAcentral
AACUGAUACUACCUGCGGGAACCUGCGGAAGGAUCAUUAAUGAGAAACUGCCCCUCGCGGGUAGAUCUCCCACCCUUUGUAAACUUACCUUUGUUGCUUUGGCAGGCCCGUCUCCGGACCGCCGGCUUCGGCUGGCCAGUGCCUGCCAGAGGAUUCUAAAACUCUGUCUGUCAGUGUUGUCUGAGUCUAUAUACAAUCGUUAAAACUUUUAACAAUGGAUCUCUAGAUCGGAAGAGCACA